AUCCAGCUGGUGAGUUCAAAUAGGACGAAACGCGCGUCCUGGAU
This 44-nucleotide non-coding RNA is filed under the name Schistosoma mansoni. The record is from RNAcentral. Lineage: Eukaryota; Metazoa; Platyhelminthes; Trematoda; Strigeidida; Schistosomatidae.